UUCCAGACUCCUACGGGAGGCAGCAGUGGGGAAUAUUGCACAAUGGGGGAAACCCUGAUGCAGCAACGCCGCGUGAGUGAAGAAGUAUUUCGGUAUGUAAAGCUCUAUCAGCAGGGAAGAAGAAAGACGGUACCUGACUAAGAAGCCCCGGCUAACUACGUGCCAGCAGCCGCGGUAAUACGUAGGGGGCAAGCGUUAUCCGGAUUUACUGGGUGUAAAGGGGGCGCAGACGGCGAUGCAAGCCAGGAGUGAAAGCCCGGGGCCCAACCCCGGGACUGCUCUUGGAACUGCGUGGCUGGAGUGCAGGAGGGGCAGGCGGAAUUCCUGGUGUAGCGGUGAAAUGCGUAGAUAUCAGGAGGAACACCGGUGGCGAAGGCGGCCUGCUGGACUGCAACUGACGUUGAGGCCCGAAAGCGUGGGGAGCAAACAGGAUUAGAUACCCGUGUA
RNAcentral lists this ribosomal RNA (447 nucleotides) under uncultured bacterium. RNAcentral's name for it is "partial 16S ribosomal RNA". It matches the Rfam family "Bacterial small subunit ribosomal RNA", at positions 329 to 792 of the family's 1533-position model. The record is from RNAcentral.